This 500-nucleotide ribosomal RNA is filed under the name uncultured bacterium. RNAcentral's name for it is "partial 16S ribosomal RNA". It matches the Rfam family "Bacterial small subunit ribosomal RNA", at positions 30 to 523 of the family's 1533-position model. The record is from RNAcentral.
AUUGAACGCUGGCGGAAUGCUUUACACAUGCAAGUCGAACGGCAGCACGGACUUCGGUCUGGUGGCGAGUGGCGAACGGGUGAGUAAUGUAUCGGAACGUGCCCAGUCGUGGGGGAUAACGUAGUGAAAAUUACGCUAAUACCGCAUACGAUCUAUGGAUGAAAGCGGGGGAUCGCAAGACCUCGCGCGAUUGGAGCGGCCGAUAUCAGAUUAGGUAGUUGGUGGGGUAAAGGCCCACCAAGCCAACGAUCUGUAGCUGGUCUGAGAGGACGACCAGCCACACUGGAACUGAGACACGGUCCAGACUCCUACGGGAGGCAGCAGUGGGGAAUUUUGGACAAUGGGCGAAAGCCUGAGCCAGCCAUUCCGCGUGCAGGAUGAAGGCCCUCGGGUUGUAAACUGCUUUUGUACAGAACGAAAAGGUUUCUACUAAUACUAGGAGCUCAUGACGGUACUGUAAGAAUAAGCACCGGCUAACUACGUGCCGGCCGCCGCAGUAA